AUUCUCAUGAUGCAAUAAAAGCAUACUUGUCUUUUUAACAAGAGAUCCAGGUUCGAACCCUGGUGGGUAUA
Molecule: transfer RNA, 71 nt
Filed under: Magallana gigas (Pacific oyster)
Lineage: Eukaryota; Metazoa; Mollusca; Bivalvia; Ostreida; Ostreidae
Description: Crassostrea gigas (Pacific oyster) tRNA
Rfam family: tRNA
About the family: Transfer RNA (tRNA) molecules are approximately 80 nucleotides in length. Their secondary structure includes four short double-helical elements and three loops (D, anti-codon, and T loops).
Source: Rfam by way of RNAcentral